UACGAAGGGGGCUAGCGUUGCUCGGAAUCAUUGGGCGUAAAGGGUGCGUAGGUGGCGCUGUAAGUCAGGUGUGAAAUUUCGGAGCUCAACUCCGAAACUGCAUUUGAUACUGCGGUGCUUGAGGACUGGAGAGGAGACUGGAAUUCACGGUGUAGCAGUGAAAUGCGUAGAGAUCGUAAGGAAGACCAGUGGCGAAGGCGGGUCUCUGGACAGUUCCUGACACUGAGGCACGAAGGCCAGGGGAGCAAACGGG
RNAcentral lists this ribosomal RNA (253 nucleotides) under uncultured bacterium. Its description in RNAcentral is "partial 16S ribosomal RNA". It matches the Rfam family "Bacterial small subunit ribosomal RNA", at positions 524 to 776 of the family's 1533-position model. The record is from RNAcentral.